RNAcentral lists this ribosomal RNA (253 nucleotides) under uncultured bacterium. RNAcentral describes it as "partial 16S ribosomal RNA". It matches the Rfam family "Bacterial small subunit ribosomal RNA", at positions 524 to 776 of the family's 1533-position model. The record is from RNAcentral.
UACGUAGGGUGCAAGCGUUGUCCGGAAUUAUUGGGCGUAAAGAGCUCGUAGGCGGUUCGUCGCGUCGGCUGUGAAAUCCCGAGGCUCAACCUCGGGUCUGCAGUCGAUACGGGCGGACUGGAGUUCGGCAGGGGAGACUGGAAUUCCUGGUGUAGCGGUGAAAUGCGCAGAUAUCAGGAGGAACACCGGUGGCGAAGGCGGGUCUCUGGGCCGAUACUGACGCUGAGGCGCGAAAGCGUGGGGAGCAAACAGG